AGAGUUUGAUCCUGGCUCAGGAUGAACGCUGGCGGCAUGCCUAAGACAUGCAAGUCGUACGAAGGGGCCCAAUGAAAAGAAUUGAAGUUUGAAGUGCUUGCACUGAGAAUGGAUUGAAUUGGAUUUGGAUUUUCCCCUUAGUGGCAAACGGGUGAGUAACACGUGGGUUACCUGCCUCCAAGAUGGGGAUAACAGUUGGAAACGACUGAUAAUACCGAAUGUGCUCUACGGAGUAAAGAAACCUUUAAAGCUUCGCUUGGAGAUGGGCCUGCGGCGUAUUAGCUAGUUGGUGGGGUAAUGGCCUACCAAGGCAACGAUGCGUAGCCGAACUGAGAGGUUGAUCGGCCACACUGGGACUGAGACACGGCCCAGACCUCCUACGGGAGGCA
Molecule: ribosomal RNA, 389 nt
Filed under: uncultured bacterium
Lineage: Bacteria
Description: bacterial SSU rRNA
Rfam family: Bacterial small subunit ribosomal RNA
Source: RNAcentral